AAAAAAAGUGUUACUUUAGUGCAUAGUUACUAGAUUCAUUCACCCCGUGGGUACUGCUUUCUGGGUCACAUGUUCCAGUUGGUGUAUUUUUUGCAUCUCAAACUGCUAGGGGACAUGAUCAGAGGUGCCAAAAGGGUUCCAGUGGAAAAGGAAAAAAAAAAGAGUAGAAAAUGAAUGAUAAAUAAAGAUGAUGAAAGAAACGGCCAUGCACAGGAGAAAGAAGAGCAAGAGCAACAAUGCAAGGAGAAGGAGAAAUAAAAAGGCGCUUGGAUAAGAAAAAAACAAAAUAGGGUUCUCUUGUUUCUUCAAUGAAGUAGCAGCAGCAACAACACAAGGAGGAGAAGACGAAAUAGAUAUGACGUGCAGAUAAGGG
RNAcentral lists this unclassified non-coding RNA (373 nucleotides) under Hevea brasiliensis (rubber tree). The record is from RNAcentral. Lineage: Eukaryota; Viridiplantae; Streptophyta; Magnoliopsida; Malpighiales; Euphorbiaceae.